GAUGAACGCUGGCGGCGUGCCUAAUACAUGCAAGUCGAGCGAACGGACGAGAAGCUUGCUUCUCUGAUGUUAGCGGCGGACGGGUGAGUAACACGUGGAUAACCUACCUAUAAGACUGGGAUAACUUCGGGAAACCGGAGCUAAUACCGGAUAAUAUUUUGAACCGCAUGGUUCAAAAGUGAAAGACGGUCUUGCUGUCACUUAUAGAUGGAUCCGCGCUGCAUUAGCUAGUUGGUAAGGUAACGGCUUACCAAGGCAACGAUGCAUAGCCGACCUGAGAGGGUGAUCGGCCACACUGGAACUGAGACACGGUCCAGACUCCUACGGGAGGCAGCAGUAGGGAAUCUUCCGCAAUGGGCGAAAGCCUGACGGAGCAACGCCGCGUGAGUGAUGAAGGUCUUCGGAUCGUAAAACUCUGUUAUUAGGGAAGAACAUAUGUGUAAGUAACUGUGCACAUCUUGACGGUACCUAAUCAGAAAGCCACGGCUAACUACGUGCCAGCAGCCGCGGUAAUACGUAGGUGGCAAGCGUUAUCCGGAAUUAUUGGGCGUAAAGCGCGCGUAGGCGGUUUUUUAAGUCUGAUGUGAAAGCCCACGGCUCAACCGUGGAGGGUCAUUGGAAACUGGAAAACUUGAGUGCAGAAGAGGAAAGUGGAAUUCCAUGUGUAGCGGUGAAAUGCGCAGAGAUAUGGAGGAACACCAGUGGCGAAGGCGACUUUCUGGUCUGUAACUGACGCUGAUGUGCGAAAGCGUGGGGAUCAAACAGGAUUAGAUACCCUGGUAGUCCACGCCGUAAACGAUGAGUGCUAAGUGUUAGGGGGUUUCCGCCCCUUAGUGCUGCAGCUAACGCAUUAAGCACUCCGCCUGGGGAGUACGACCGCAAGGUUGAAACUCAAAGGAAUUGACGGGGACCCGCACAAGCGGUGGAGCAUGUGGUUUAAUUCGAAGCAACGCGAAGAACCUUACCAAAUCUUGACAUCCUUUGACAACUCUAGAGAUAGAGCUUUCCCCUUCGGGGGACAAAGUGACAGGUGGUGCAUGGUUGUCGUCAGCUCGUGUCAUGAGAUGUUGGGUUAAGUCCCGCAACGAGCGCAACCCUUAAGCUUAGUUGCCAUCAUUAAGUUGGGCACUCUAAGUUGACUGCCGGUGACAAACCGGAGGAAGGUGGGGAUGACGUCAAAUCAUCAUGCCCCUUAUGAUUUGGGCUACACACGUGCUACAAUGGACAAUACAAAGGGCAGCGAAACCGUGAGGUCAAGCAAAUCCCAUAAAGUUGUUCUCAGUUCGGAUUGUAGUCUGCAACUCGACUACAUGAAGCUGGAAUCGCUAGUAAUCGUAGAUCAGCAUGCUACGGUGAAUACGUUCCCGGGUCU
Molecule: ribosomal RNA, 1372 nt
Filed under: uncultured bacterium
Lineage: Bacteria
Description: bacterial SSU rRNA
Rfam family: Bacterial small subunit ribosomal RNA
Source: RNAcentral